RNAcentral lists this non-coding RNA (790 nucleotides) under Monodelphis brevicaudata (Red-legged short-tailed Opossum). RNAcentral describes it as "partial 12S ribosomal RNA". It matches the Rfam family "Bacterial small subunit ribosomal RNA", at positions 20 to 1381 of the family's 1533-position model. The record is from RNAcentral. Lineage: Eukaryota; Metazoa; Chordata; Mammalia; Didelphimorphia; Didelphidae.
GCCUUCUUGUUAAUUUUAAUUAGACUUACACAUGCAAGUUUCCGCUACCCUGUGAGAAUGCCCUCAAAACUAAAGAUGGAGGAGCUGGUAUCAGGCACACACACGUAGCCAACUACACCUUGCUCAACCACACCCCCACGGGAGACAGCAGUGAUUAAAAUUAAGCUAUAAACGAAAGUUUGACUAAAUCAUAAUUAAAGGGUUGGUAAAUUUCGUGCCAGCCGCCGCGGUCAUACGAUUAACCCAAAUUAACAAGUUUCGGCGUAAAGCGUGUUCAAUAAUAAAGUUAAUACUUAACUAAGUUGUAACACACUCCAGUUAAUACUAAGAUAAAUGAUUAAAAUAACUUUAAUAAAGCUGAUACACGAAAACUAAGGUACAAACUGGGAUUAGAUACCCCACUAUGCUUAGUCAUAAACCAAAGUAGUUAAAUAACAAAACCACUCGCCAGAGAACUACUAGCUACUGCUUAAAACUCAAAGGACUUGGCGGUGCCCUAAACCCACCUAGAGGAGCCUGUUCUAUAAUCGAUAAACCCCGAUAAACCCAACCCCAUCUUGCCAAUACAGCCUAUAUACCGCCAUCGUCAGCCCACCUUAAAAAAGGUCAAAGUAAGCAAAAUUAUUUUUCAUAAAAACGUUAGGUCAAGGUGUAGCAUAUGAUGGGGAAAGAAAUGGGCUACAUUAUCUAACCUAGAUUAAACGAAUCACAUUAUGAAAUCAGAGUGCCUGAAGGAGGAUUUAGUAGUAAAUUAAGAAUAGAGUGCUUAAUUGAAUUAGGCAAUAGGGCG